UUAAAUUGAAGAGUUUGAUCAUGGCUCAGAUUGAACGCUGGCGGCAGGCCUAACACAUGCAAGUCGAACGGUAACAGGAAACAGCUUGCUGUUUCGCUGACGAGUGGCGGACGGGUGAGUAAUGUCUGGGAAGCUGCCUGAUGGAGGGGGAUAACUACUGGAAACGGUAGCUAAUACCGCAUAACGUCGCAAGACCAAAGAGGGGGACCUUCGGGCCUCUUGCCAUCGGAUGUGCCCAGAUGGGAUUAGCUAGUAGGUGGGGUAACGGCUCACCUAGGCGACGAUCCCUAGCUGGUCUGAGAGGAUGACCAGCCACACUGGAACUGAGACACGGUCCAGACUCCUACGGGAGGCAGCAGUGGGGAAUAUUGCACAAUGGGCGCAAGCCUGAUGCAGCCAUGCCGCGUGUAUGAAGAAGGCCUUCGGGUUGUAAAGUACUUUCAGCGGGGAGGAAGGGAGUAAAGUUAAUACCUUUGCUCAUUGACGUUACCCGCAGAAGAAGCACCGGCUAACUCCGUGCCAGCAGCCGCGGUAAUACGGAGGGUGCAAGCGUUAAUCGGAAUUACUGGGCGUAAAGCGCACGCAGGCGGUUUGUUAAGUCAGAUGUGAAAUCCCCGGGCUCAACCUGGGAACUGCAUCUGAUACUGGCAAGCUUGAGUCUCGUAGAGGGGGGUAGAAUUCCAGGUGUAGCGGUGAAAUGCGUAGAGAUCUGGAGGAAUACCGGUGGCGAAGGCGGCCCCCUGGACGAAGACUGACGCUCAGGUGCGAAAGCGUGGGGAGCAAACAGGAUUAGAUACCCUGGUAGUCCACGCCGUAAACGAUGUCGACUUGGAGGUUGUGCCCUUGAGGCGUGGCUUCCGGAGCUAACGCGUUAAGUCGACCGCCUGGGGAGUACGGCCGCAAGGUUAAAACUCAAAUGAAUUGACGGGGGCCCGCACAAGCGGUGGAGCAUGUGGUUUAAUUCGAUGCAACGCGAAGAACCUUACCUGGUCUUGACAUCCACGGAAGUUUUCAGAGAUGAGAAUGUGCCUUCGGGAACCGUGAGACAGGUGCUGCAUGGCUGUCGUCAGCUCGUGUUGUGAAAUGUUGGGUUAAGUCCCGCAACGAGCGCAACCCUUAUCCUUUGUUGCCAGCGGUCCGGCCGGGAACUCAAAGGAGACUGCCAGUGAUAAACUGGAGGAAGGUGGGGAUGACGUCAAGUCAUCAUGGCCCUUACGACCAGGGCUACACACGUGCUACAAUGGCGCAUACAAAGAGAAGCGACCUCGCGAGAGCAAGCGGACCUCAUAAAGUGCGUCGUAGUCCGGAUUGGAGUCUGCAACUCGACUCCAUGAAGUCGGAAUCGCUAGUAAUCGUGGAUCAGAAUGCCACGGUGAAUACGUUCCCGGGCCUUGUACACACCGCCCGUCACACCAUGGGAGUGGGUUGCAAAAGAAGUAGGUAGCUUAACCUUCGGGAGGGCGCUUACCACUUUGUGAUUCAUGACUGGGGUGAAGUCGUAACAAGGUAACCGUAGGGGAACCUGCGGUUGGAUCACCUCCUUACCUUAAAGAAGC
RNAcentral lists this ribosomal RNA (1556 nucleotides) under Escherichia coli. RNAcentral's name for it is "bacterial SSU rRNA". It matches the Rfam family "Bacterial small subunit ribosomal RNA". The record is from RNAcentral. Lineage: Bacteria; Pseudomonadati; Pseudomonadota; Gammaproteobacteria; Enterobacterales; Enterobacteriaceae.